RNAcentral lists this small nuclear RNA (107 nucleotides) under Octodon degus (degu). The record is from RNAcentral. Lineage: Eukaryota; Metazoa; Chordata; Mammalia; Rodentia; Octodontidae.
GUGCUCGCUUCAGCAGCACAUAUACUAAAACUGGAACAAUACAGAGAAGAUUAGCAUGGCCCCUGUGCAAGGAUGACAUGCAAAUUCAUGAAGCAUUCCAUAUUUUU